GCUGGUGUGGUGGUUGGUGCACACCUGUAAUCCCAGCUACUCAGGAGGCUAAAGCAGGAGGUUGGCAAGUGUGAGGCUAGCCUCAGCGACUUAGUGAGACCCUGUCUUAA
RNAcentral lists this small RNA (110 nucleotides) under Marmota monax (woodchuck). Lineage: Eukaryota; Metazoa; Chordata; Mammalia; Rodentia; Sciuridae. The record is from RNAcentral.